RNAcentral lists this ribosomal RNA (468 nucleotides) under uncultured bacterium. RNAcentral's name for it is "partial 16S ribosomal RNA". It matches the Rfam family "Bacterial small subunit ribosomal RNA", at positions 28 to 507 of the family's 1533-position model. The record is from RNAcentral.
GACGAACGCUGGCGGCGUGCUUAACACAUGCAAGUCGAACGGAAAGGCCCUGCUUUUGUGGGGUGCUCGAGUGGCGAACGGGUGAGUAACACGUGAGUAACCUGCCCUUGACUUUGGGAUAACUUCAGGAAACUGGGGCUAAUACCGGAUAGGAGCUCCUGCUGCAUGGUGGGGGUUUGAAAGUUUCGGCGGUUGGGGAUGGACUCGCGGCUUAUCAGCUUGUUGGUGGGGUAGUGGCUUACCAAGGCUUUGACGGGUAGCCGGCCUGAGAGGGUGACCGGCCACAUUGGGACUGAGAUACGGCCCAGACUCCUACGGGAGGCAGCAGUGGGGAAUAUUGCACAAUGGGCGGAAGCCUGAUGCAGCAACGCCGCGUGCGGGAUGACGGCCUUCGGGUUGUAAACCGCUUUCGCCUGUGACGAAGCGUGAGUGACGGUAAUGGGUAAAGAAGCACCAGCUAACUACGUG